Molecule: ribosomal RNA, 544 nt
Filed under: uncultured Glomeromycotina
Lineage: Eukaryota; Fungi; Glomeromycota
Description: SSU rRNA
Rfam family: Eukaryotic small subunit ribosomal RNA
Source: RNAcentral
UUGGAGGGCAAGUCUGGUGCCAGCAGCCGCGGUAAUUCCAGCUCCAAUAGCGUAUAUUAAAGUUGUUGCAGUUAAAAAGCUCGUAGUUGAAUUUCGGGGUUCUACCGUUGGUCGGGCAAUAGUCUGUACUGGCGUGUGGAAUUUCUACCUUCUGGGGAACCAUCAUGUUAUUAAUUAGCGUGGUGGGAAACCCGGACCUUUACCUUGAAAAAAUUAGAGUGUUCAAAGCAGGCUUACGUCUGAAUACAUUAGCAUGGAAUAAUAAAAUAGGACGGUGGUCCUGUUUUGUUGGUUUCUGAAUCACCGUAAUGAUUAAUAGGGAUAGUUGGGGGCAUUAGUAUUCAAUUGUCAGAGGUGAAAUUCUUGGAUUUAUUGAAGACUAACUUCUGCGAAAGCAUUUGCCAAGGAUGUUUUCAUUAAUCAAGAACGAAAGUUAGGGGAUCGAAGACGAUCAGAUACCGUCGUAGUCUUAACCAUAAACUAUGCCGACUAGGGAUCGGACGAUGUUAAUUUUUCUUGACUCGUUCGGCGCCUUACGGGAAAC